GGAGGGGUGCCGGAGUGGUCGAACGGGGCGGUCUCGAAAACCGAUCACUCCCACCCCCUUCC
RNAcentral lists this transfer RNA (62 nucleotides) under Alphaproteobacteria bacterium. RNAcentral describes it as "tRNA-Ser". Lineage: Bacteria; Pseudomonadati; Pseudomonadota; Alphaproteobacteria. The record is from RNAcentral.